CACUUCUAAGGAAGGCAGCAGGCGCGCAAAUUACCCAAUCCUGACUCAGGGAGGUAGUGACAAGAAAUAACAAUAAACCGGCUUAUGCCGGUUUAAUUGGAAUGAGUACAAUUUAAACAUCUUAACGAGGAACAAUUGGAGGGCAAGUCUGGUGCCAGCAGCCGCGGUAAUUCCAGCUCCAAUAGCGUAUACUAAAGUUGUUGCAGUUAAAAAGCUCGUAGUUGGAUUUCUGUGGGGACGGAGCGGCCGGCCGCAACACGCGGUUCGAGCUAGCGCUUUCCCUACAUCCUGCCGCGAACCGUGCUACCAUUAGUUUGGUGGCGCCGGGGAUCGGCUCGAUUACUUUGAGAAAAAUAGAGUGUUCAAAGCAGGCCACACGCCUUGAAUAAGUUAGCAUGGAAUAAUAACUAAGGACUUCGGUUCUAUUUUGUUGGUGUUCGGGACUGAAGUAAUGAUUGAUAGGGACAGUUGGGGCGGUCUGUAUUCCAAAGCGAGAGGUGAAAUUCUUAGACCUUCGGAAGACAAACAGCUGCGAAAGCGUUCCGCAAGGAUGUUCCCUUUGAUCAAGAACGAAAGUUGGGGGAUCGAAGACGAUCAGAUACCGUCGUAGUCUCAACUAUAAACUAUACCAGCUAGGGAUCGGCCAACGUUAUUCUAUACCGACUUGGUCGGCACCUUAUGAGAAAUCAAAGCAUCUGGGUUCCGGGGGGAGUAUGGUCGCAAGGCUGAAACUUAAAGGAAUUGACGGAAGGGCACCACCAGCCGUGGAGCCUGUGGCUUAAUUUGACUCAACACGGGAAAACUUACCAGGUCCAGACAUAGUAAGGAUUGACAGAUUGAUAGCUCUUUCUUGAUUCUGUGGGUGGUGGUGCAUGGCCGUUCUUAGUUGGUGGAGUGAUUUGUCUGGUUAAUUCCGUUAACGAACGAGACCCCAGCCUGCUAAAUAGCGCGUGUGAGCUUUGCUCGCAGCGAGCUUCUUAGAGGGACUAUGAUGCGCGAUAGCACAUGGAAGUUUGGGGCAAUAACAGGUCUGUGAUGCCCUUAGAUGUUCUGGGCCGCACACGGGCUACACUGGCGCCUGCAACGAGCAUAUCAGCUGGCCCGAGAGGGUCUUGGCUAAUCUUUUGAACCGGCGCCGUGCUUGGGAUUGACCUUUGCAAUUGUUGGUCAUGCAACGAGGAAUGCCUUGUAAACGCGAGUCAUCAGCUCGCAUUGAAUACGUCCCUGCCCUUUGUACACACCGCCCGUCGCUCCUACCGAUGAAUGUUCCGAUGAAAUUUUCGGAGAGUGCCUGUGAACUUGGCUCUGCCUUGCGAACGGGAAGCUCAAAGUCACUUAAAUCUGAACAUUUC
Molecule: ribosomal RNA, 1352 nt
Filed under: uncultured marine eukaryote
Lineage: Eukaryota
Description: SSU rRNA
Rfam family: Eukaryotic small subunit ribosomal RNA
Source: RNAcentral